UUUUACCUGAAUCUGGUCGAGGGCCCUCUCUGUUUGAGCGCAGUGCAGGGGCCCCAGGGCCUGAUGGGGACAAGCUGAGACUGGACACUUUUCCUUUCCUCGGCUCAGGGGCUCCUUGUUACGCCAAACCUCCAUCCCUUUUGGGUCCUUACGCACGGAACCCCUCUUUUGACUACCCCUGGGGCUUCAACCCCUACCUCCCAGGGGCCUUUUCUCUGAACAACUGUCCCAAAUUGGCCCCAGGCUCCCUCUACUCUUCACAUUUCUAUCCCAACCCACUCCAAUCCAGCCUGUCUCAGCUGUCACACCCCUUCUCUUCGCUCUUAUCCCCCGGAGACACGACCACGACCGGCACAGGGAAACAGAGACACUUAAACUUGCUAACAGUUAAUUUGUUCUGUUGUGUGAUUUUUGAUGUCUUGCAGGUUCUCUCUUUCUCUUUUUCUGUCUAUGCAUUCCUGCAUUUGUGAAAUAAUGCUGUAUAUUCCCAUUUCAUUUUUUUUCUUUUCUGGAGUCCUCCGAAGCCAUUCUUUGCUCAUUCAGUUCCAAUAAUAGAACUUUCAAUUUCUGCUUUCUUCAAUUUCUGAUUCGCACAGUGAGACUCUUGAUGCAGUUUUUGUCAUUCUCAGAGUAAAAGUGCAGCACAAAAAAAUUCAAAAUUCGAAUUUUCAUUCUCUCAUUUCUGGUAGGAAGCAGUAACAAUGAGAAAUUUUAUAGCCAGUACAGCACAGUAACGGAAUAUGCAUAUCUUUUAUCACACACAUUUAGAUUGCACUGCAUUCUGGCCCUGCUGAAACGGGCAGUAAAUUUGUUCUGUUUGGUGUAUUUCAGACUUUUCCAUAAGUUAAUGCUAAGCUCUGCAAUACAGUGUUCAGCUGAAGAGUGUAACACAAGCAAAAUGCAAUAAUGGCAACACUCAUAGUAAUUUUAAGGCGAUACAUUUGUGUUGCAAUAAAGCACUUUUGUUUUUUUGUGCUGACUCCAAGGGAUUCAGACAUAUAUAUGGUCAAACAUUGCCAUCUUGUGGUUAUAUUUAUCUAAGCCUUUCAUAGUUUCUGAAGGGAAAUUUAUUUAUUUAUGUUCACUUUCAAUUUUCAUGUCCAGUCCAUGUCUUUUAAAAUUUUUUCAAAACAUUUAUGACCCUGAGAAUGAGUGACAGAAUCAAUACUACUCAUGCCAGUGAAUAUUUAAAGUUUGUAUCUAUUUCAUUGUAUAUAUUUUAUUGUUGUGUACAUUGUUUAAUUACUAUUACUAUAUGGGAUAGUUGUAUUGAUGUCAUUUUACUCUGUAACUAACUGAAGAGUGAUAUAUGAGACAGAAAAAUGGUUAAGUAUAUAUGUGUAGUGACCCAAAGUUGACAGAGAAAGAGCACUUGUUUUUCACAUACUCAUAAGAAUGCAGUUUAGACAGGGAAGUGUGCAAAAAACUAAAAUCUGCUCUUUCUAAUUGUGCCCUGUGGAAACUUUCCCCAGAUACCUCAAAGUAGAUGAUCCUGAUGGACUGAGUUAUGCCACUAGUCUCAAAUUUCAAUAAUUCAUUCACCCAGUGAUGAGGUACUGUAAUUAAUCAAGUGUGAAUAAUAUUAGUUGCAGCAUCUGCUAAUUUCUUUAACCAAUGUUCAUUCUAAUGUUUAUUACAUUUGAUAUAUGAACAUCCGAUUUGAAUAUAAAAACAAUACAUAGGAGCAGAAUGACACACUCUGAUUAGAUUACCUUCAAAUACAAUUCAGACAAGUUGGGGAGGGGGGGGGUAAAGAUAACAUUUUAUACAAAAGCAAAAUGCAAGUAAGAUUUUAUCAAACUAUGGCCACAAUAUUUCCAGAUAUUCUUCUGAUUCUUUGGUAAGUUAUCUCAUUCUAGAUAAGAACUUGAAAGAAGUUGUUUCAUGACAGUUGGUGCCAUUGACUUGCCCGUACUAGAGGAGAUUUCAGCUGUACAUAGG
Long non-coding RNA from Sinocyclocheilus grahami, 1941 nucleotides. Lineage: Eukaryota; Metazoa; Chordata; Actinopteri; Cypriniformes; Cyprinidae. The record is from Ensembl.